ACUUCUUAAGCUCUAACAGUCUAGUAUUGAAGGUACUAAGGAGAUGAAGUA
RNAcentral lists this transfer RNA (51 nucleotides) under Pomphorhynchus laevis. RNAcentral describes it as "tRNA-Phe". The record is from RNAcentral. Lineage: Eukaryota; Metazoa; Acanthocephala; Palaeacanthocephala; Echinorhynchida; Pomphorhynchidae.